CGUAACGGACUACUCUCUAGAUUUUCGUGUCCAACGUUUAACUAUUCAUCUUAUUUAAAAUAUAUAUUAAAAAAAUUAAAAAGAUAAGUCACGCAUAAAGUAUUAAUCAUAUUUUAUCAUUUAACAACAAUGAAAAUACUAAUUAUAACAAAAAAAAUUAUAUAAGAUGGAUAGUCAAACGUUGGACACGAAAACUCAGGGUUUGUCUUUUU
Molecule: microRNA precursor, 212 nt
Filed under: Oryza glumipatula
Lineage: Eukaryota; Viridiplantae; Streptophyta; Magnoliopsida; Poales; Poaceae
Description: MIR812 microRNA precursor family
Rfam family: MIR812 microRNA precursor family
Source: Rfam by way of RNAcentral